AAUGAACGCUGGCGGCGUGCCUAACACAUGCAAGUCGGACGAGAAAGACUGUUUUCGGACGGUCGAGUAAAGUGGCGCACGGGUGAGUAGCGCGUAGGUAACCUACCCUUGUAUUGGGGAUAACUCCGCGAAAGCGGGGCUAAUACCGGAUACGAUCCUCACCUGGCGGGUGGGGAUGAAAGUGGGCCUCUCGGAGAAGCUCACGUACGGGGAUGGGCCUGCGUCCUAUCAGCUAGUUGGUGGGGUAAUGGCCUACCAAGGCGACGACGGGUAGCUGGUCUGAGAGGAUGAUCAGCCACACUGGCACUGGAACACGGGCCAGACUCCUACGGGAGGCAGCAGUGAGGAAUUUUGCGCAAUGGGAGCAAUCCUGACGCAGCAACGCCGCGUGGGUGAAGAAGGCCUCGGGUCGUAAGCCUGUCAGGUGGGAAGAAGGGUCUCGACAGGAAAGGGUUGGGAGUUUGACGGUACCGACCAGAGGAAGCACCGGCUAACUCCGUGCCAGCAGCCGAC
This 513-nucleotide ribosomal RNA is filed under the name uncultured bacterium. RNAcentral's name for it is "bacterial SSU rRNA". It matches the Rfam family "Bacterial small subunit ribosomal RNA", at positions 29 to 518 of the family's 1533-position model. The record is from RNAcentral.